UAACAACACUAUAGGUAGGUGUUAUAACAGGUGGGAUAUCUAACAACACUAUAGGUAGGUGUUAUAACAGGUGGGAUAUCUAACAACACUAUAGGUAGGUGUUAUAACAGGUGGGAUAUCUAACAACACUAUAGGUAGGUGUUAUAACAUGUGGGAUAUCUAACAGCACUAUAGGUAGGUGUUAUAACAGGUGGGAUAUCUAACAACACUACAGGUAGGUGUUAUAACAGGUGGGAUAUCUAACAACACUAUAGGUAGGUGUUAUAACAGGUGGGAUAUCUAACAACACUAUAGGUAGGUGUUAUAACAGGUGGGAUAUCUAACAACACUAUAGGUAGGUGUUAUAACAGGUGGGAUAUCUAACAACACUAUAGGUAGGUGUUAUAACAGGUGGGAUAUCUAACAACACUAUAGGUAGGUGUUAUAACAGGUGGGAUAUCUAACAACACUAUAGGUAGGUGUUAUAACAGGUGGGAUAUCUAACAACACUAUAGGUAGGUGAAAGCAGUGGUCCUAGUAAAUAAUGAAAGUUACCAGCAUAGCACACCCACUGACGAUACAUUAGAAUUAGCUUAUUAUCAUUACUGAAAUGAAGGUUCUCAUUACCGAAACGGGCCUAAAAAUGAUGCGGUAAUGAGAAAUGUGUGUUUUGGUAAUGAGAGGCCCUUAGCUUCAUCUGGAAGUAAUAGGAGACAGACAUUAUGAGUUAGCAAACUGUUGACCACAUCACUAA
Molecule: non-coding RNA, 733 nt
Organism: Salmo salar (Atlantic salmon)
Lineage: Eukaryota; Metazoa; Chordata; Actinopteri; Salmoniformes; Salmonidae
Source: RefSeq, a predicted model, not a curated record